CAGUGUUCAGUGGGCGGCGACGGCGGUUCUCUAAGGUCGACUCCGGCGGAAGGAUUUGGACCUCGCCACCAUCGUUGAUUCGUCGGAUCCGCGGUCCAGAGGAGAAGGCCUGAGCCAAGUGCAUGAUUGACAUAAAGGACAAUGUUCCAUGAGUGGGAGGUGCCGAGCUGGUGAAGUUUCAGUGCCCUUCUUACAAGUGUAUCUUCAGAGAAAGACAUCCCCGCACACAUACAAUGAAGAGAAAUUGUCUAAGUUAGUGACUCUCAGCUAGGGCUAGAAACGAGCCGAGCUCGGCUCGGUGCGGCUUGGUGCCUGAACGAGCUGGGCUCGGCUCGUCCAUUCCACGAGCUGGCGAAAGAGGCUCGGCUCGACCUUGACUCGCGAGCCAUAUUCUGGCUCGCGAGCCGGAACAAGCCGGCUCGGCUCGGCUCGCUGCAAAAACGAGCUCAAAGAAGGGGCUCGGCUCGGCUCGUUCGAGGCUCGCGAGCCGCUCCGAGCCGAGCCGCUCCGAGCUCGAGCCGGCUCGGGAGCCUCGAGCUUAUUUUCUAGCCCUACUCUCAGCCAAGCAACUCGAGUGUGUUUGGUUGGACGUACAAGGAGGGAUCGAAGGGGGUGGCCACAGUUUCUAUAGUGUUUGGAUAAGAGUCACGUGGGGGCGAGGUAAACACCGUAGUAAUUUUUGAUGACGGCGUGAUCCAAAAAAAUCGAGGGGACGGUGUCGCCCUCACCUCAUCCUAUUUUGACCUUAAAUCAAACACAUACUAAGGAAUCAUCGAGGACAUGUGAGGGUGCUCCCAUUGUGCGGCAGCAAACCCCUCUUCCAGUUUACUGCUUUUUUCACUAUUAUUAUUGCUUCUAUAUGUUCCAAGCACUUGUAAGCUUCUGAUAACUGCGAACUAAUUUAAAACCGGUAACCGUGAACUAACUUCAAUUUCACUACCA
Long non-coding RNA from Zea mays, 942 nucleotides. RefSeq lists it as uncharacterized. The transcript has 5 exons. NCBI's taxonomy places the organism in Eukaryota, Viridiplantae, Streptophyta, Magnoliopsida, Poales, Poaceae. The record is from RefSeq and is marked validated.